RNAcentral lists this transfer-messenger RNA (354 nucleotides) under Vulcanimicrobiaceae. Its description in RNAcentral is "JAFAHZ01 sp019236975 Standard tmRNA". It matches the Rfam family "transfer-messenger RNA". From Rfam's summary of the family: Bacterial tmRNA, also known as 10Sa RNA or SsrA, is named for its dual tRNA and mRNA-like properties. Its role is to liberate the mRNA from a stalled ribosome. Lineage: Bacteria; Bacillati; Vulcanimicrobiota; Vulcanimicrobiia; Vulcanimicrobiales. The record is from RNAcentral.
GGGGCUGAAAUAGGUUCGACAAGGGGAUCCGUGGUCGGCGUCAGCAGGCGGAGUUGCGAGCUCUCCUUAAACGAUCGCACGGCAAUAUCUGCCAACAACGAAUACGCACUGGCUGCCUAAUCUAGGCUAGUCACCGGACGCAGAGGGUCGGCCCGAAUCGCUCUGCUCUCCGGUCAACAACUCGGGCUGGUGCGCGCGUGUGAUUCGGCGCGCGUACGAGAAACAGGAUCUGCAGCGCGCGGUAAGCCCCGCUUCGAGGCGUACGCGCGAUCAAGUCAAACUCGAAGCUGAGCCUGGAGAACGCGCCGGUUAGGCUUCUUGGACUCGGGGGGCAGUACCCCGACAGCUCCACCA